GGGUGGUAAUGCCGGAUGCUCAGUCAUCCGGCAUGUCGUGUCGGGAAAGAUUCUAUCGGUAUGGGAUGGGGUCGCGUCCUAUCAGGUAGCCGGCGGGGUAACGGCCCACCGAGCCUGGGACGGGUACCCGGCCUGAGAGGGCGAGCGGCCACAUUGGGACUGAGAUACGGCCCAGACUCCUACGGGAGGCAGCAGUGGGGAAUAUUGCACAAUGGGCGCAAGCCUGAUGCAGCGACGCCGCGUGCGGGAUGACGGCCUUCGGGUUGUAAACCGCUUUUGACUGGGAGCAAGCCCUUCGGGGUGAGUGUACCUUUCGAAUAAGCACCGGCUAACUACGUGCCAGCAGCCGCGGUAAU
RNAcentral lists this ribosomal RNA (356 nucleotides) under Bifidobacterium ruminantium. Its description in RNAcentral is "bacterial SSU rRNA". It matches the Rfam family "Bacterial small subunit ribosomal RNA", at positions 158 to 524 of the family's 1533-position model. Lineage: Bacteria; Bacillati; Actinomycetota; Actinomycetes; Bifidobacteriales; Bifidobacteriaceae. The record is from RNAcentral.